CAGUAACGGCGAGUGAAGCGGCAACAGCUCAAAUUUGAAAUCUGGCUCCUUCGGGGUCCGAAUUGUAAUUUGUAGAGAGUGCUUCGGGCGAGACCUCGGUCUAAGUCCAUUGGAACAUGGUGUCAUAGAGGGUGAGAAUCCCGUAUGCGACCGUGGCUCGAGCCCAUGUGAAGCCUCUUCGACGAGUCGAGUUGUUUGGGAAUGCAGCUCAAAAUGGGUGGUAAAUUUCAUCUAAAGCUAAAUAUUGGCUGGAGACCGAUAGCGCACAAGUAGAGUGAUCGAAAGAUGAAAAGCACUUUGGAAAGAGAGUCAAACAGUACGUGAAAUUGUUGAAAGGGAAGCGCUUCCAACCAGACCUGCCCGUAGGCGAUCAGGCGCUGUUCUCAGCGGUGUACUCGCUCUGCGAUCAGGCCAGCAUCGGUUUCGGCGGUCGGAUAAAGACCUUGGGAAUGUAGCUUCCCUUCGGGGAAGUCUUAUAGCCCUCGGUGUAAUGCGGCCAGCCGGGACCGAGGACCGCGCUUCGGCUAGGAUGCUGGCGUAAUGGUUGUAAGCGACCCGUCUUGAAACACGGACCAAGGAGUCUAACAUCUAUGCGAGUGUUUGGGUGUCAAACCCAUACGCGGAAUGAAAGUGAACGGAGGUGAGAACCCUCAAGGGAGCAUCAUCGACCGAUCCAGAUGUCUUCGGAUGGAUUUGAGUAUGAGCAUAGCUGUUGGGACCCGAAAGAUGGUGAACUAUGCCUGAAUAGGGUGAAGCCAGAGGAAACUCUGGUGGAGGCUCGCAGCGGUUCUGACGUGCAAAUCGAUCGUCAAAUUUGGGUAUAGGGGCGAAAGACUAAUC
This 840-nucleotide ribosomal RNA is filed under the name Xanthoparmelia cumberlandia. RNAcentral's name for it is "eukaryotic LSU rRNA". It matches the Rfam family "Eukaryotic large subunit ribosomal RNA", at positions 81 to 936 of the family's 3401-position model. The record is from RNAcentral. Lineage: Eukaryota; Fungi; Ascomycota; Lecanoromycetes; Lecanorales; Parmeliaceae.